GUAACAUUCGGAUCGUUGGUCUAGGUAGCAAUUUCAUCCGCUCUGUGGAGGAUCUUCCCUUUAUCGA
Molecule: microRNA precursor, 67 nt
Filed under: Bombyx mori (domestic silkworm)
Lineage: Eukaryota; Metazoa; Arthropoda; Insecta; Lepidoptera; Bombycidae
Description: mir-2774 microRNA precursor family
Rfam family: mir-2774 microRNA precursor family
Source: Rfam by way of RNAcentral